Molecule: ribosomal RNA, 1499 nt
Filed under: metagenome
Description: bacterial SSU rRNA
Rfam family: Bacterial small subunit ribosomal RNA
Source: RNAcentral
AGAGUUUGAUCCUGGCUCAGGAUGAACGCUGGCGGCGUGCUUAACACAUGCAAGUCGAACGAUGAAAGCGGGAGCUUGCUCUUGCUGGAUUAGUGGCGAACGGGUGAGUAACACGUGAGUAACCUGCCCUUGACUCUGGGAUAAGCGUUGGAAACGACGUCUAAUACCGGAUACGACCGAGGCAUCUCCUGAAGGUGGAAAGAAUUUCGGUCAAGGAUGGACUCGCGGCCUAUCAGCUAGUUGGUGAGGUAAUAGCUCACCAAGGCGACGACGGGUAGCCGGCCUGAGAGGGUGACCGGCCACACUGGGACUGAGACACGGCCCAGACUCCUACGGGAGGCAGCAGUGGGGAAUAUUGCACAAUGGGCGAAAGCCUGAUGCAGCAACGCCGCGUGAGGGACGACGGCCUUCGUGUUGUAAACCUCUUUUAGUAGGGAAGAAGCGAAAGUGACGGUACCUGCAGAAAAAGCACCGGCUAACUACGUGCCAGCAGCCGCGGUAAUACGUAGGGUGCAAGCGUUAUCCGGAAUUAUUGGGCGUAAAGAGCUCGUAGGCGGUUUGUCACGUCUGCUGUGAAAACUGGAGGCUCAACCUCCAGCCUGCAGUGGGUACGGGCAGACUAGAGUGCGGUAGGGGAGAUUGGAAUUCCUGGUGUAGCGGUGGAAUGCGCAGAUAUCAGGAGGAACACCGAUGGCGAUGGCAGAUCUCUGGGCCGUAACUGACGCUGAGGAGCGAAAGCAUGGGGAGCGAACAGGAUUAGAUACCCUGGUAGUCCAUGCCGUAAACGUUGGGAACUAGAUGUAGGGACCAUUCCACGGUUUCUGUGUCGCAGCUAACGCAUUAAGUUCCCCGCCUGGGGAGUACGGCCGCAAGGCUAAAACUCAAAGGAAUUGACGGGGGCCCGCACAAGCGGCGGAGCAUGCGGAUUAAUUCGAUGCAACGCGAAGAACCUUACCAAGGCUUGACAUAUACCGGAAAAGUUCAGAAAUGUUCUCCCCGCAAGGUCGGUAUACAGGUGGUGCAUGGUUGUCGUCAGCUCGUGUCGUGAGAUGUUGGGUUAAGUCCCGCAACGAGCGCAACCCUCGUUCUAUGUUGCCAGCACGUAAUGGUGGGAACUCAUAGGAGACUGCCGGGGUCAACUCGGAGGAAGGUGGGGAUGACGUCAAAUCAUCAUGCCCCUUAUGUCUUGGGCUUCACGCAUGCUACAAUGGCCGAUACAAAGGGCUGCAAUACCGUAAGGUGGAGCGAAUCCCAAAAAGUCGGUCUCAGUUCGGAUUGAGGUCUGCAACUCGACCUCAUGAAGUCGGAGUCGCUAGUAAUCGCAGAUCAGCAACGCUGCGGUGAAUACGUUCCCGGGCCUUGUACACACCGCCCGUCAAGUCAUGAAAGUCGGUAACACCCGAAGCCAGUGGCCCAACCGUAAGGAGGGAGCUGUCGAAGGUGGGAUCGGUGAUUAGGACUAAGUCGUAACAAGGUAGCCGUACCGGAAGGUGCGGCUG